UACGGAGGGUGCAAGCGUUAUCCGGAUUCACUGGGUUUAAAGGGUGCGUAGGAGGGCAGGUAAGUCAGUGGUGAAAUCCCCGAGCUUAACUUGGGAACUGCCGUUGAUACUAUCUGUCUUGAAUAUUGUGGAGGUAAGCGGAAUAUGUCAUGUAGCGGUGAAAUGCUUAGAUAUGACAUAGAACACCAAUUGCGAAGGCAGCUUGCUACACAACUAUUGACUCUGAUGCACGAAAGCGUAGGGAUCAAACAGG
This 253-nucleotide ribosomal RNA is filed under the name uncultured bacterium. RNAcentral describes it as "partial 16S ribosomal RNA". It matches the Rfam family "Bacterial small subunit ribosomal RNA", at positions 524 to 776 of the family's 1533-position model. The record is from RNAcentral.